This 429-nucleotide ribosomal RNA is filed under the name Gemmatimonadota bacterium. RNAcentral describes it as "Gemmatimonadetes bacterium partial 16S ribosomal RNA". It matches the Rfam family "Bacterial small subunit ribosomal RNA", at positions 355 to 776 of the family's 1533-position model. The record is from RNAcentral. Lineage: Bacteria; Pseudomonadati; Gemmatimonadota.
UAGGGAAUCUUCGGCAAUGGACGAAAGUCUGACCGAGCAACGCCGCGUGAGUGAAGAAGGUUUUCGGAUCGUAAAACUCUGUUGUUAGAGAAGAACAAGGACGUUAGUAACUGAACGUCCCCUGACGGUAUCUAACCAGAAAGCCACGGCUAACUACGUGCCAGCAGCCGCGGUAAUACGUAGGUGGCAAGCGUUGUCCGGAUUUAUUGGGCGUAAAGCGAGCGCAGGCGGUUUCUUAAGUCUGAUGUGAAAGCCCCCGGCUCAACCGGGGAGGGUCAUUGGAAACUGGGAGACUUGAGUGCAGAAGAGGAGAGUGGAAUUCCAUGUGUAGCGGUGAAAUGCGUAGAUAUAUGGAGGAACAUCAGUGGCGAAGGCGGCUCUCUGGUCUGUAACUGACGCUGAGGCUCGAAAGCGUGGGGAGCAAACAGG